UGGUGGCGCACGGGUGCGUAACACGUAACUAACCUACCCACAACUGGGGGAUAGCCCGCCGAAAGGCGGAUUAAUACCGCAUAAGCUCUUGACUCGGCAUCGGGUUAUUAGUAAAGAUUUAUUGGUUGUGGAUGGAGUUGCGGGUCAUUAGCUAGUUGGUUGGGUAACGGCUGACCAAGGCGACGAUGACUAGGGGAGCUGAGAGGCUGGUCCCCCACACGGGCACUGAGAUACGGGCCCG
This 241-nucleotide ribosomal RNA is filed under the name uncultured bacterium. Its description in RNAcentral is "partial 16S ribosomal RNA". It matches the Rfam family "Bacterial small subunit ribosomal RNA", at positions 93 to 334 of the family's 1533-position model. The record is from RNAcentral.